Molecule: ribosomal RNA, 442 nt
Filed under: uncultured bacterium
Lineage: Bacteria
Description: partial 16S ribosomal RNA
Rfam family: Bacterial small subunit ribosomal RNA
Source: RNAcentral
CCUACGGGAGGCAGCAGUGGGGAAUAUUGGGCAAUGGACGCAAGUCUGACCCAGCAAAGCCGCGUGAAGGAAGAAGGCUUUCGGGUUGUAAACUUCUUUUAAGGGGGAAGAGCAGAAGACGGUACCCCUUGAAUAAGCCACGGCUAACUACGUGCCCGAAGCCGCGGGAAGAAGUAGGUGGCAAGCGUUUUCCGGAUUUACUGGGGGUAAAGGGCGUGAAGCCGGAGAGACAAGUCAGAUGUGAAAUCCACGGGCUCAACUCGUGAAAUGCAUUUGAAACUGUGUCCCUUGAGUGGCGGAGAGGUAAGCGGAAUUCCUUGUGUAGCGGUGAACUGCGUAGAUAUAAGGAAGAACACCAGUGGCGAAGGCGGAUUACUGGACGAUAACUGACGGUGAGGCGCGAAAGCGUGGGGAGCAAACAGGAUUAGAUACCCGAGUAGUC